RNAcentral lists this ribosomal RNA (253 nucleotides) under uncultured bacterium. RNAcentral describes it as "partial 16S ribosomal RNA". It matches the Rfam family "Bacterial small subunit ribosomal RNA", at positions 524 to 776 of the family's 1533-position model. The record is from RNAcentral.
UACGUAGGGGGCGAGCGUUGUCCGGAAUCAUUGGGCGUAAAGCGCGCGUAGGCGGCCCCGUAAGUCCGCUGUGAAAGUCAAAGGCUCAACCUUUGAAAGCCGGUGGAUACUGUGGGGCUAGAGUCCGGAAGAGGCGAGUGGAAUUCCUGGUGUAGCGGUGGAAUGCGCAGAUAUCAGGAGGAACACCAAUAGCGAAGGCAGCUCGCUGGGACGGUACUGACGCUAAGGCGCGAAAGCGUGGGGAGCGAACAGG